Molecule: ribosomal RNA, 438 nt
Filed under: uncultured bacterium
Lineage: Bacteria
Description: partial 16S ribosomal RNA
Rfam family: Bacterial small subunit ribosomal RNA
Source: RNAcentral
CUACGGGAGGCUCCAGUGGGGAAUAUUGGACAAUGGGCGCAAGCCUGAUCCAGCAACGCCGCGUGAGUGAAGACGGCCUUAGGGUUGUAAAACUCUUUCGCUAGGGAAGAUAAUGACUGUACCUAGUAAAGAAGUCCCGGCUAACUCCGUGCCAGCAGCCGCGGUAAUACGGAGGGGACUAGCGUUGUUCGGAAUUACUGGGCGUAAAGAGUUCGUAGGCGGACUGACAAGUUAGAGGUGAAAUCCCAGGCUCAACCCUGGAACUGCCUUUAAAACUGUCAGUCUAGAGACCGGAAGAGGUUAGGGGAAUACCUAGUGUAGAGGUGAAAUUCGUAGAUAUUAGGUGGAACACCAGUGGCGAAGGCGCCUAACUGGUCCGGUACUGACGCUGAGGAACGAAAGCGUGGGGAGCAAACAGGAUUAGAUACCCCCGUAGUC